This 441-nucleotide ribosomal RNA is filed under the name uncultured bacterium. RNAcentral's name for it is "bacterial SSU rRNA". It matches the Rfam family "Bacterial small subunit ribosomal RNA", at positions 29 to 506 of the family's 1533-position model. The record is from RNAcentral.
ACGAACGCUGGCGGCAUGCCUAACACAUGCAAGUCGAACGAGGUUUCCGCUUCGGUGGGGGCCUAGUGGCGCACGGGUGAGUAACGCGUGGGAACCUGCCCCGUGGUACGGAAUAACUCCGGGAAACUGGAGCUAAUACCGUAUGUGUCCCGAGGGACAAAGAUUUAUCGCCAUGGGAGGGGCCCGCGUAGGAUUAGCUUGUUGGCGGGGUAACGGCCCACCAAGGCUUCGAUCCUUAGCUGGUCUGAGAGGAUGAUCAGCCACACUGGGACUGAGACACGGCCCAGACUCCUACGGGAGGCAGCAGUGGGGAAUAUUGGACAAUGGGCGCAAGCCUGAUCCAGCAAUGCCGCGUGAGUGAUGAAGGCCUUCGGGUUGUAAAGCUCUUUCGCACGCGACGAUGAUGACGGUAGCGUGAGAAGAAGCCCCGGCUAACUUCGU